RNAcentral lists this ribosomal RNA (508 nucleotides) under uncultured bacterium. RNAcentral's name for it is "partial 16S ribosomal RNA". It matches the Rfam family "Bacterial small subunit ribosomal RNA", at positions 28 to 507 of the family's 1533-position model. The record is from RNAcentral.
GACGAACGCUGGCGGCGUGCCUAAUACAUGCAAGUCGAACGCUUCUUUCCUCCCGAGUGCUUGCACUCAAUUGGAAAGAGGAGUGGCGGACGGGUGAGUAACACGUGGGUAACCUACCCAUCAGAGGCGGAUAACACUUGGAAACAGGUGCUAAUACCGCAUAACAGUUUAUGCCGCAUGGCAUAAGGGUGAAAGGCGCUCUCGGAUGUCGUUGAUGGAUGCACCCGCGGUGCAUUAGCUAGUUGGUGAGGUAACGGCUCACCAAGGCAACGAUGCAUAGCCGACCUGAGAGGGUGAUCGGCCACACUGGAACUGAGACACGGCCCAGACUCCUACGGGAGGCAGCAGUAGGGAAUCUUCGGCAAUGGGCGAAAGCCUGACGGAGCAACGCCGCGUGAGUGAAGAAGGUUUUCGGAUCGUAAAACUCUGUUAUUAGGGAAGAACAAGUAUGUAAGUAACUGAGCGUCCCUUGACGGUACCUAACCAGAAAGCCACGGCUAACUACGUG